Salarias fasciatus (jewelled blenny) is the source of this 668-nucleotide long non-coding RNA. RefSeq lists it as uncharacterized. The transcript has 3 exons. The record is from RefSeq and is a predicted model, not a curated record. NCBI's taxonomy places the organism in Eukaryota, Metazoa, Chordata, Actinopteri, Blenniiformes, Blenniidae.
CUAUAUUCCCCUUAAACAGAUGAAAUAAUAAUACAAUAAAUAAAAGUUUGUUUCAAUUAUUUUCUAGCAGCUGCAGCAUUAGCUGGUGUAAAUCCGACCUGGUGAGGUGGUGAAACAGUCCUCACUCUCCCACAGGCUGCGGACUGACCAGAGGGCCCUUCGUUUAAGGACAUAUUCCGUUUGCCACAAGUGGAACUUAAUCAAGCAUGAAUAUUAGCUAUUUUCCUUUCAACUUGAGUUGAUGAAGCAUGACUUUUCCCUGCCCCCGCCUCUGGCCGCCCCUCAGACGGCGCUGCAGUCCGUCCCGUCGGUAGGAGCGGAUCCAUCACGCCAUUAUAGUCUCCGUCUAAAUCAGUGUCAUCUCGCGAGUCGGACCGGCUAAUGGGAGACUUAUCUGUUUGAUUACGAGCUCACCUGCCGCCUUGAGUCUGACGGUUCCGCCUCUUCACGUCUGUCAUCCGUCACCAUUAAGAUCCUCGGUGGCCGCUGCACCGAGAGAGGCUUCCCAAAUGGCCCGCAGCGGCGUGAAGCAGGGGAGAAAAAACAGAAAGACCGUGGGAGGAGGUAAAGGGAACCUCAGGUCAUGUCCCAUUUUGCACUCGUUGUGUGAUAUUCAGUUACACCAGGAAGGAUGGCAGACGCUGGAGCGUGUUCUCGAGGGGGGGGUU